Molecule: non-coding RNA, 100 nt
Organism: Photobacterium marinum
Lineage: Bacteria; Pseudomonadati; Pseudomonadota; Gammaproteobacteria; Vibrionales; Vibrionaceae
Source: Rfam
GACAGAUAGUCGGGGUGCCGAAAGGCUGAGAUCGCAUGUUGCGAGACCCGUUGAACCUGAUUCAGUUAACACUGGCGUAGGGAACUAUGUGUCUUGCUAA